CCUACGGGAGGCAGCAGUCGAGAAUCAUUCACAAUGGGGGAAACCCUGAUGGGGCGACGCCGCGUGGGGGAAUGAAGGUCUUCGGAUUGUAAACCCCUGUCAUGUGGGAGCAAAUUAAAAAGAUAGUACCACAAGAGGAAGAGACGGCUAACGCUGUGCCAGCAGCCGCGGUAAUACAGAGGUCUCAAGCGUUGUUCGGAAUCACUGGGCGUAAAGCGUGCGUAGGCUGUUUCGUAAGUCGUGUGUGAAAGGCGCGGGCUCAACCCGCGGACGGCACAUGAUACUGCGAGACUAGAGUAAUGGAGGGGGAACCGGAAUUCUCGGUGUAGCAGUGAAAUGCGUAGAUAUCGAGAGGAACACUCGUGGCGAAGGCGGGUUCCUGGACAUUAACUGACGCUGAGGCACGAAGGCCAGGGGAGCGAAAAGGAUUAGAUACCCUUGUAGUC
This 446-nucleotide ribosomal RNA is filed under the name uncultured bacterium. Its description in RNAcentral is "partial 16S ribosomal RNA". It matches the Rfam family "Bacterial small subunit ribosomal RNA", at positions 338 to 795 of the family's 1533-position model. The record is from RNAcentral.